UUCAAAUUCCUCUUUUUUUUUCUUUUUUUUGCCUGCCUAAUAAUACAAAAUCUUGACUUGCCAGAGUUCAUGCUCCUUCCUAUUUCCUCCAGCGGAUUUACCGUCCAAUGGUGAAAGGGCAUCUUUUCGCCUCUCCCUGCCUCUCUUAUUCUGUUGUUUAGUCAUUGGGGUAGUUCUUGGUCUGCUUACUGGGUUUUCCAAUUUGGAGUACACAUUUAAUUUGAGCCUCUAUUAUGGUGUGUUUAAAACGUUUCCACGCAGCUUGCAGGCAUUUCACUCCUUUUCAUUUCCAUGUAACUAGCUUCCUCGUUCUUGUGUAUUCUCCUUUUCUGAGUUAUUGCUCCUGUGGUGGGCUUCUUUGGUAUUCCUCCCUCCCUGUCCCCAAAGAAUGGUAAAUGUAAGUACAUGUGGUUCAUCUCUGGUGACCUCUUGGACCAGAUCCUGGGCUCCACUUAGGAUCACACCAAGAAUUGCAUCUCCUCUCGGGGGUUCCAGGACCAGCUGCUCCAAGAAGUUGUCCAGAACAAGCCAGGGUGUGUGUGUGAAGAAUUGAUGAAGAGGGCUAUGGUAAAUGGCACAGAUUGUAAGAGCUGGAGGGACACCGCACCCCAAGUCACUUUGGUCAAGGGAAGUUUGGUAAGGGAGAAAUAUAGGUAAAAACUUACAAAUAUGAGCUCUGUAUCUCUACCUUUGGCCAUGGUUUACCUGGAGCGUGAGGACUUUCCAGGGGUAUUAUUCUGGGCAUUAGGAAUCUGCUUCCCACUCCUGUUUUAUGAGGUAAGGACGCUGGAGCCACAUCUAAGCAGGGUAAUAUCAGAACUCGCAGCCAGAAGUCUGGCUCUGCCUCUCCUGGCUUAUCUGUGGCCAGCAGGGAGGGCUGCGGGGGGAGAAACGCCCUCAGGCCUUUGCUAGCAGAAAGUAACCGUUUGUCCCCAGGGGAGGGUUUGGAGAGUCCGCUGCUUUGCCAGAGUCGGCUCUUAUCCCAGGGAGUUUACGGAGACUCACCAGGCUGACCCUGUCCAGGGAGAGGACGGUGGCUCAGGAUAACGUCACCAUCGGCUUUUCGAGGUUUGCUGUGCAUAGGGGAAGAGGCACCCUGUUGUGGUUUGCAAGCAGGUGUUGGGCCUGAUCAGGGCAGGACUGAGCUGCUGCACGUGGCUCAUGACUGCCCCUGUGCUGGACGCUGAGGCGAGGAGAGAAACAUGCGAGGCUCAAAUGAGGCUCCUGGCCUUGUGUUUGAGACAGUGAAAAUCAUGGUACAAGUCGUGUCAGAAGCGCCAGUGGUUACAGGCCCUGUGGGGCACCUCUGCAGCCACUGCCUAUUGCUAAGGUGUUUGCCAGAGGGUCCGGGGGCAUUGUGGGACCCCUCCCAGGAAUGGAAAGAAAGCGACUGGGAGUGGUGGGUGCUGCCACCAGGUGCCCGGAAGCCCCAGGUCUGUCCGAUAGAGAAGUUGAAACUGCGGCUACUGCCCUAGUCGCCGUUUCUGGCCGAGUUCGGAAAUCUUGUGGGACCGGGUGCAAAUUUCAUGUCUGCAGUUUUCAAAAAGUGACGGGUGUUGAGCGGAGCGAGGGAUGUGAAAGCUGCUGCUAUCACCCAGUGACUAGUGGUUGGUGGAAAGAGUCCAUGGGGCGCUGAAGUCUAUGCGGACGCUGUAUGUUACAGCUAGUUGCUCCCUGAUUUGUUAUUUGGGUACAGGAGUAUCCCCUGCAGAGCCUAUGGGAUUUACCCCCUUUUAUCUCUGUGAUGCUGACAGGCCAGCUCAGGUCAAUAGGCUGAUUCAGUAGCGGGUGACCACCAAAGAAACACUAAGUGAACUAAUGUUCAUUGAGUGCAAAGGGAACGUGAAUGCUCUUGUCUUCACGUAUCUAUAACCUGUUGAUUGGUAUCCAUUAGAUUAUGUAUAUCCCUGUACUUAAUUAACCCCACAUCCAAAGUGUGUGUUAGCACUGAGAUGUGAAUGUACUUUACUUCAUGAAAACUAAGGAAGGCUCGUUGUGGGCUACUCCAUUACCACGCACACAGCGUCUAGCCCGGUAGUGACGUUCACCCACCAAACGCGACUGGAGCCUUGGAAAUGUAAAGGAAGAAGGUUGCUAACUUCAAAGCAAGGGCCACUGAGUUCUCAAUGGGAAUUCACAGACACGGUCUGCAUUCCUCAUGUACCGCUGGGCAAGGAAGGCCCACGUGGGAACAGAACCGAGCUUUCUGGGCAAAGGCAUAAAAGAUUCCUUGAAACUGUUUGGCCAUUCACAGGGAAGCCUUCCACAUGGAAGAGACAGAUCCCCAAAGUUACUCUGGGUAUCCUUGGAAGACUCAUGGAAAAUCCCAGAUCACCACAUCUCUGCUAUCGCUUUGGACUUACAAACCUGGGUUCAUCUGUUACUCUGUUUUACCUGCUUUAACCUCUCAAGAGCUCAUUCCCUUCGCUGAGCUAAUAAACCCUUAACUUGUUUACUAGAGAAAUCGGCUGCCAGCACAACCUCUGUGUGAGAUCAAGAGUAUCCGUUGGGGUGAGCGACUGGCCCUCUAGGGUUGGGAGUGACCUGAUGUGAUGUGAUGUUAGUAUAGCGACCAGGGUCACCAAGUCCUGUGUGUCUGGGUGGAAAGAUGUCCGUACGGGGACUGUCCAUGGCUCCAUGGGAAUGGAGUGAUCCAGGAGCGCACAGUUGUCACUGGCUUGGUGAAAUCUAAUGACAGAACCACACCCCCAUUUUGAGGGGCCUGCCCUGUUUUCUGACAGCCUGACGGGAGACUGCCCCGCUGUCUGGAGUGACUCAUGGCUGCGAGUGUGAAUCUCCUUCACGAGACAAAGGCGAGGAGACCCCUAGGUUUCAUGGGAGGCUCGUUGGAAGGCAGCACGGAGGAGACAGGACGGCCUGUGGGGAGCCGGUCCUGCCUUUUCAAGAGAACGUGAAGGCUGUGAAGGACCUGGUGCAUCAGAACCUGCUAGGAGCCAGGCGUCCCGGAGAGCACGGCCUACUAGGCAGGCUGCAGCCAGGCCUCGUUGAUUCCAGUGAGGAAGAACGAGAUGCAGGAUUGCUGGGAGAGACCUUUUGAGGCGACAGAGCAAGUGAACGAGGUCACAUGAUGCAAGGACACCCCACCGCAGGGCAGCUGUGCAAACAGAGUAUGGCAGUGGGAUGGGAGGCAGAUGGGGGAGAACCUGACUUGUUGGGCUGGUGAGGGAUCUGGCCAGCGGGGGUAAGGAGGAGACUGCCCGGAGAUCUGGGAGGGUUUGCACCCAACCCAAAAGCAGGCGAUGUGGGCCCCCUUGCUAUAGCACAGGGAGGGCCUUUCCGAGCGGCCAGCUGUAACUAACCAAGCAGUGUGCUCCAGGGAGCAGGGCAAGCCGGACUAUAAGGGCUGAGGCCUUUUUCUGCAGUAAGCAGCAGCAGGCAGCCACGAGCUAAGAGGCAGAAAGUCACAUCCUCACAUUCCCUCUAAAUUCCAUUAAACCAAUGUCAUAUGGUGCUGCACAGAAGGCUCCUGUGCUAACGGUGCCCAGCAUCACCAGCGAAAGAAACUGAGCUUAAGAUGCUUGAAGAAAACUUUGUUUGACAGCGUCUGUCUGGCAAGGACCCACCCCGCCAACAGCCAGGAUUGUGAAAUCUCUACUUCUAUUCUUUUGCUGUACUGCCUCCCACUUCUCUAGUGUUUAACUUAGAGUUUCGGUCUGGUUCUUUGAUAGUUUCUGUCUGUGAUGUAACUAAUUUUGCAAGAUUUAAAUCAGCUACAGUGCUGGGGUCUGACUGGGUAAGGACUGUUUGGUAAGGGCUGGGCUGGGGGAAAAACGCUGCUUUGUAGCACUUCAGUUCCCGACUGGUUCCGGCCCAGCUAAGCAGGUCUCAAGUUUCACGGUAUACACUGGGGUCCAAAGGGAAGUUCUCUGGAACAACGCCAGGGUAUGGUGAGUGGCGUACGCGCCGAGGGCACAUUCUGUGUUGGUAAGUGGUGAUGAACAGAGGUUAAUGAUAUUACGGUGUGAGGCCCUUUCACUGCCAAAGGGCCCCACAAACCUGCAGAUUACCCUGAGCCCUAGGAACACGGUAAGGGUAGUGUCUUUCACCCAAAGCCCAGGUCAGCGGUGCCUCAAUUAACUGGGUCACGCCUUGAGCCCACAGAAGGCUACAGGAGUGUGUGGGUAACCGAUGUGUUGGCCAAUGCGGGCAGCAUAAGGUGUUUUGGACUGAACAGAUAAGAGUCUAAUACAAUAAGUAACAGCAGAGUACUGGUGCCUUCUGACAGAAAGGAUCGCCACCUUCCUGGCAGAAUGACCUCCCAGGAACAACAAGAGAGAACGAGAAGGAAGAAAAGGGACCAGGAGGGCUGGGGGCUAGUUGAGGAACCCUUCCCCCCCCCCCCCCCCCCGCUAAAUAGGUAGUGGGACGAGGCCUGUGUCCAAGGGGAGGGAUGGUUCUGCGAGACAGCAGGAUCGGGCCCUGACAAGCAGGCAGGCAAUGGAGAGAGACCGGAAAACAUGCUGGGCAUAGUGACAGGAGUAAGAGGAGCACAUGCUGGGACCACACAGACUCCUGGGAUGAUAGUGGAAUGGUGAUAUCUGGCUUGAUGCAGGUGUCACUGGGAGAUAAGUGAUUCAAGGAAAGAGAGUGAGAAGUUAACGGCGGGUGAGGGGCGGGGGGCGGAUUAAGCAGUUGAACUUUGUGGAAAUGUUAAAGCAGGAACAUGUUAUAGGAAGAGAAUUCUUGAUUUCUUUGCAGCCAUUCUGAAGGAAAAUGGGCCCUUUUCCCAAGGAAAUGGUCUGUAAACAAUCCAUUGUGAAUAACUACUGCAGGCAGAGAGACAAUCUGAUUUCAAUCAUUUGACUAUGGACAGUUUAGUCGCAAUCACUAAAAGAACAUAAGGGGUUUCCAUUGAAACUUAACCACCUGCAAAUGUCUAAAAGGGAACGUAAUCUGUGCACAGCUGUGUAACAGUAACUGUUAAGAACAAGAGUGUGUGUAUAAAAGGACCUAAACCGACACUCCUGCUUUGUAAAGCCUGUUCUGUAGGUUCAGGAUGAAAUUGGUUUUGUUUGUUUUAAACAAUGCCACUAAAAAUCCAUUUGAUCUCUCAUUCAAAGCUGCAAAACUGACAGACACUUUUGCCACUUAUUACCUUUGGGUACUUCUAUACUUUAUAAAGUUUAAUAUUGUUUUAAAUAAGGACCAGAGCAUGUGGCAGGGGCAGCCAGAACCAGGAGAAUGGGGAGAGAUUCUGGAUCCUUUUUUCUUGUUUGGUAACAAAACAGCAACUAAAAGCUGCGGUAAUGACAGGAAGAGUGCCUCUCUGGAGCACCAGUGGGGGUGAGGUGCACACCGCAGCAAAGUCAGGAACACUGAGCCUUAAGGUGGCUGUGAGUAAUCAGACUGUCCCUUUGCUAAGGGUCCAUGAAAACGCCGUGAGCACAAAGGAAACAGUUACACCGUCUGUAAAAAUGGCUACGGCUACUAUAAUGUUAUACAAGUGCAGCCAGGGAAGGAACGUGCAUUUUCCCACGACACGUGCAGUGCAUACCGGAGAAGCGGCAAAAGACAACAAGGCAGUGGAAAAAGGCCAGACCAACAGCAUACCGGGGGGGUGGGGGGGGCGCGGGGGGAGCGUUAAAGCAGCAAAACAAGCCAUGAUUAAAAUGGUUCCACUCCUCACAAUUGGAAGCAUGGAAGGCAGCUAGAAAUUGUUCAUUUUAGUUUUCAGAAUCUCCAAGGAAAAGCAAGAGCCAGUGGUGUGUGUGCUGACGGAAAUGACCGAGCUGACAGGGCAAGAAGAGAACUGCCCUCGAUGGCAGCACACGGGGGUGCGGGUAAGGGAGGCACCUGGCCAGCAUUCAAGCAGGGCUCAGGUUCUGACCCUUCAGGAAAGGGAGGUGGGAAACACGUCAGUCCUGAUACUGAGGGACAGGUUAACCAUCCCUUAAAAACGCACCCGCUCAACCCCAUGGAGAGAAUUAUAUUAAAGCCGAGGCUAAGAUUCCAAGAGGGUAUUGAGCACACGGGCCUCAGAGAGGGAUUGUCUAAAGAAACAGCGCAGUAUAGCAAGACACCUAUACACACCCACUUGUCAUGUUGUUGUUAAGGUUAAACACUGGAUAAACGUCAUGUUAACGAGUAACCCGGGAACAAUGUAUGAUGUGUACAAGUUUGGGAGAAACCUGUAAGCACGCUAGAAACGGUUACUGGGAACACACCGCAUGUUAAGAAGCUUUACGCUACUAAUGCUGCUCAGCUAUUACCUGUGACUACGUACAGAAAGCUUGGCACAGCACAGAAACAUUACAAACCUGUCCUGCUGUAUAGAAAGGGAACCUGA
Non-coding RNA from Chelonoidis abingdonii (Abingdon island giant tortoise), 6307 nucleotides. NCBI's taxonomy places the organism in Eukaryota, Metazoa, Chordata, Testudines, Testudinidae. The record is from RefSeq and is a predicted model, not a curated record.